RNAcentral lists this ribosomal RNA (504 nucleotides) under uncultured Rhodococcus sp. Its description in RNAcentral is "bacterial SSU rRNA". It matches the Rfam family "Bacterial small subunit ribosomal RNA", at positions 903 to 1382 of the family's 1533-position model. Lineage: Bacteria; Bacillati; Actinomycetota; Actinomycetes; Mycobacteriales; Nocardiaceae. The record is from RNAcentral.
CGCCUUGCCAGCCCGCUCAGAACUCAAAGGAAUUGACGGGGGCCCGCACAAGCGGCGGAGCAUGUGGAUUAAUUCGAUGCAACGCGAAGAACCUUACCUGGGUUUGACAUACACCGGAAAACCGUAGAGAUACGGUCCCCCUUGUGGUCGGUGUACAGGUGGUGCAUGGCUGUCGUCAGCUCGUGUCGUGAGAUGUUGGGUUAAGUCCCGCAACGAGCGCAACCCUUGUCUUAUGUUGCCAGCACGUGAUGGUGGGGACUCGUAAGAGACUGCCGGGGUCAACUCGGAGGAAGGUGGGGACGACGUCAAGUCAUCAUGCCCCUUAUGUCCAGGGCUUCACACAUGCUACAAUGGCCAGUACAGAGGGCUGCGAGACCGUGAGGUGGAGCGAAUCCCUUAAAGCUGGUCUCAGUUCGGAUCGGGGUCUGCAACUCGACCCCGUGAAGUCGGAGUCGCUAGUAAUCGCAGAUCAGCAACGCUGCGGUGAAUACGUUCCCGGGCCUU